UAUUGGUCAAUGGGCGCAAGCCUGAACCAGCCAAGUCGCGUGAGGGAAGACGGUCCUAUGGAUUGUAAACCUCUUUUGUCGGGGAGCAAAGCGCGGUACGAGUACCGUGAAGGAGAGUACCCGAAGAAAAAGCAUCGGCUAACUCCGUGCCAGCAGCCGCGGUAAUACGGAGGAUGCGAGCGUUAUCCGGAUUUAUUGGGUUUAAAGGGUGCGUAGACGGAUUUGUAAGUCAGCGGUAAAAAUGCGGUGCUCAACGCCGUAUCGCCGUUGAAACUGCAUCCCUUGAGUGCGCGAGAAGUAUGCGGAAUGCGUGGUGUAGCGGUGAAAUGCAUAGAUAUCACGCAGAACUCCGAUUGCGAAGGCAGCAUACCGGCGCGCAACUGACGCUCAUGCACGAAAGCGUGGGUAUCGAACAGG
RNAcentral lists this ribosomal RNA (417 nucleotides) under uncultured bacterium. RNAcentral describes it as "bacterial SSU rRNA". It matches the Rfam family "Bacterial small subunit ribosomal RNA", at positions 362 to 776 of the family's 1533-position model. The record is from RNAcentral.